Molecule: ribosomal RNA, 774 nt
Filed under: Papilio maackii
Lineage: Eukaryota; Metazoa; Arthropoda; Insecta; Lepidoptera; Papilionidae
Also listed under: 1 other name
Description: 12S ribosomal RNA
Source: RNAcentral
UUCUAGAAACACUUUCCAGUACUUCUACUAUGUUACGACUUAUUCCAACUUAUUAAUGAAAGCGACGGGCAAUAUGUACAUAUUUCAAUUUUUAAUCAUUUUAAUAAACUAAAUAAAAUUACAUUUAAAUCCACUUUCAAAUAAAUAUUAAAAAAUAUUAUCUAUAUAAUCAUUUCUUAUUGUAACCCAUUAUAUUCUUAAUUAUAAUCUGCAUCUUGAUCUGAAUUAAUUUAUUUUAAAAAUUUUAAAAUAUUAUUUUUAUUAAAAAAUAUUUUUUUAACAACGAUAUACAAAAUAUAUUAAUUAAGUAAAUUUAUUCGUGGACUAUCAAUUAUUAAACAGAUUCCUCUAAAUGAACUAAAAUACCGCCAAAUUAUUUAAGUUUCAAUAAAUAAUUAUAUACUAUUUUAGUAUUUUUUAUUUAAAUUUUAAUAAUAGAGUAUCUAAUUCUAGUUUUUAAUAAAAUUUUAUAAAUCAUAAUUAUUAAUUAAAAUUUUAAUCAAAUUAAAAUUUCACCUAAUAAUUUAAUAUUUAAUUUUAAAAUAUUAAUAUUUAUUAUUUACUAAUAAAAUUUAAAUUAUUUUUUGUUUAACCGCAACUGCUGGCACAAAAUUUGUUAAUAACUAUUAAAUAUUACUAAAUCUUAAUUUCUUAAAUUUUUAAUAUUAAUUACUAUUAAAUUAAUUUUUAAAAAUUUUUAAAAUAAAUUAAAAAUAUAUACUAAAAUUUAUAUGUAAAAUAGACUUAAAUUAAACUUUAUAAAUCAUAAAAAAU